CACCAUGGACAAGUCAUGCCUGACGAACCUGAUUGUCUUCUCUGAUGAGAUAAUUGGCUCUGUGGAUGUGGGGAAAGCAGUGGACAUAAAAUACCUUGAAUUUAGCAAGGCUUUUGAUACGGUCUCCCACAGAAUUCUUGCCAACAAGCUGAGGAAGUCCAGAUGGGAUGGAU
Molecule: long non-coding RNA, 173 nt
Organism: Gavialis gangeticus (Gharial)
Lineage: Eukaryota; Metazoa; Chordata; Crocodylia; Gavialidae
Exons: 3
Source: RefSeq, a predicted model, not a curated record